Long non-coding RNA from Peromyscus californicus insignis, 894 nucleotides. RefSeq lists it as uncharacterized. The record is from RefSeq and is a predicted model, not a curated record. Lineage: Eukaryota; Metazoa; Chordata; Mammalia; Rodentia; Cricetidae. The transcript is spliced from 3 exons.
GGAGAAAGUAACUAAGAACAGAAGGUCAGUCAGUUAUGAAGAUGGAGCAGGAAUCCAGGAGAAUCUAGUGGAGACUUUCCAGGGCUAUUGUGUGCCAGUUCACAGGCUGUGCACUGCAGAGCUCCAGGAGACAUAAUCCAUUGCAGGCUGGGGUUUGAAUCGUCCCUUGCAGCUAGGAAACAGGGAGGUCUUGAGAGUUCAGGUCAAGGGAGAACCUCUGGGACCAUGGGGGUGGAUUCUUUUCUAAUGUUGUAUAUAAGCCAGCCAGCUCACAGCUAAUCAUGGGGGCUCCUACCCCUUCCUGCCAGCGGGAGCUAGAGAUGGGCUUUUAUGCAACCUCAUGUUUCUCCAUUUCUAAUACAAUGCCUGUUCUUCUUUUAAAGGGCUGAACUUUAACUCUGUCUGAAUUGAAAGCCCAAGAGGAAACCAUCAGAAGCCACACCCCACAGGGCAUCAUCCUCCAACGCCCCAAACACCCAAGGAUGAGAAGCACAGAGGAAAACAACCCAGGUCGGAGAGACACAGGGGAGACGAUGGUUGCCUGAUGCUAAACACUGAACCCAUUAACCUCGGUCUAGUCUUUGGCACAAGACCAGCAUCUAGCAAGUUCAUUUUGUCAUAUACACCCAGAACGUCCAGUGAUGCUGCUUUCAGGCGAUGGCUUGAGCCACGGUCAAAGUCUACCUAGCAGUCACACCUGAGAAGGCAGACGCCUGGAAAACCCACACGAUGGACGACGCCAGAGCAGAAGCCUGACACCUUGGAAAAACUUAGGUCCGAGAGACAACGGGGCAGGUAAACUUGCCGGCACCCAGGGCUGGAACCAUGCCCUCCUCUACUCCAGACAGGGGACUAUCAAACUGCUGCCACCCCUCUUCUCCCCCCCCCCGACCC